UCGGGUGGUUUUGACGCCGUCAUGAAUGAGAUAAUGUCUGUGCAGUGAUGUCACACAGGAAGUCUAAAUAAGCUUAGACGGAAAGCAAUACACCCACACACACACACCCACACACAAACACACACACACACAAACACACACACACAAACACACACACUCCCUCUGGGAUCGGACAACAGGAAAUGCUCCCUCAUCGCUCUCCUCCUUUUCUCUCUCAUUUCCUCUGCCUCUCUUUUCUCUCCCUCCAUCUCGCCCUCCCUCUCCCUCCCCUGCUCUUUAUUAUUUCUUAGACGAUUAUUAUUGCUCUCUGUAACUAAUGUCCCUCCUAUAGGAUGGAUAAGUGGAUAAGAUUAAUAUCCACUGUCGGUCUGUCUGUAACUCAUUUCCAUCCCAUAACAUGAAGAAGUGGAUAAGAUAAAUAUGUAUCAGUCAGUCAGUCUCUUUGUCUAUUUGGCCAUCCAUCCAUCGAUACUAAAACAAGAUAGAUAGACAGAUAGAAGGAUGGAUAGAUGUACUAAUCGUAGUACUCCCUCUGUCCUUCUUCCAUCCACACUUCCAGCCAUGUUUGUGAUUGAGACCAAACAGCCCCCCGCCCUAUCCACACAGACACACACACGCGAAUCUCCCCUCCCUGUAUGUGAGGUUCUGUCUGGGAAGACAGCACCCCAAUCAGUAUCCUGGUUUGGAUUGGGGAGGUGGGCAGGGUGGGGGGUGGAGGGUGGCGGGGUUAGGGAGAGUUAAGCUGUGCUUUUUAUUCUGCUCUACAUAAUCAAAACCACCAACAACAGCAGAGAGAAUGAAACCAUAUCAAUCCUCCCGUGUGUGUGCGUGUGUGUGUGUGUGUGUGCAUGCGUGUUUUGCCUUUGUUUUGUUUUAGUGCACAAAAGAUGGCCACAGAAUGUAGUCAUGCAUUGCGUUAAGCCACUAACUUUGUUGCUCUACUCCGGAAGUUUCUUGAGUGCAGGAGGGGUGGAAGACAUAUAAAUUUAGCACAAAAAGUAAGGAAAUUUGUGUUUGUUAGAUUAUUUCUCUGUGGUAACAAUGCUUUUUGGCAAUAAAUCGUAUACCGUUGGAAAGCCUGUUUAGUUCCCUUUCAAAUGGUGCCCCAUUUGUAAGGAACUUGCAUUUGUGGGAUGAGCAGGAGCGCUGAGUAUGUGCGUCUCUCUCGCUCUCAAAAAUUUGGCAAAUCUUUUCUGCCAUUGCCAUUGUUUUGAGAUUCUGGUACCCCCAGGUGCUGCCAAUAAGGUACCUGAUUGGCCCCUUAUUGGGCAACUUCAAGCUGGUGUUCCGCAAAACCAAGUAGCGGUAUUAUCUGGAGUGAGCCCUAGUACCCUCUCCAAACUGAAGGCCAUGUUCCAUAUAACAGGGGGAUGUCAAAGACAGGCCGCGAAGUGGGCGUCUCCAGAAGACGACAUCCCAAGAAGACCGUUUCAUCACCCUGUCAGCACUUAGUUGGCUGUCUUUUACAGAUAUGCAGUGAAGGUUUGCAGGACGAUAUGGCCGACGGCUCUCUGCCCAGACAAUCGGGAACAGACUCCACGCAGCCAAUCUCCGGUCUCAUAGGGCUGCCAGGAGUCCUGCCAUGACUGCCCUUCAGCGUCAGGCCCGUUUGCGCUGGUGUCGGCAACACGUGCACUGGAACCAGAACAUGUGGGGGAACUUCAUGUUCAGUGAUGAGUCCAGAUUCUGCCUACGGCAGCUGGAACUUAAGGUCAAAGUGUGGAGAAGAUGCGGAGAACGCUAUGCUGAUUGCUGCCCCGAUAGAACAACAUAUAUUGGUGGAGGCAGUGUGAUGGCGUGGGGUGGCGUCUCCCUCACUGGAAAAACGAGGCUUGUCAUCAUUGAAGGCAAUCUCAAUGCAGAGAGAUAUAGAGAUGAGAUCCUGCAACCAGUGGCAAUCCCAUAUCUCCACAGUCUGGGACCGAACUCUAUCCUCCAAGAUGACAACGCUCGCCCCCACAGGGCGGGGUUUAUCAGAGACUACCUGCAGAAUGUGGGAGUGGAGAGGAUGGAAUGACCUGCUAGCAGUCCUGACCUCAACCCCAUUGAACCCUUGUGGGAUCAGCUUGGGCGUGCUGUUCGUGCCAGAGUGACCAACACAACCACGUUGGCUGACUUGUGACAAAUGCUGGUUGAAGAAUGGGAUGCCAUCCCACAGCAGUGUGUGACCAGGCUGGUGACCAGCAUGAGGAGGAGGUGCCAGGCUGUUGUGGCUGGGUAUGGUUCUUCCACACGCAACUGAGGCUCCUGUUUGUGAAAUGAAUAAAUUGUUUAAUUGCCAA
This is a long non-coding RNA of Gadus macrocephalus (Pacific cod), 2282 nucleotides long. RefSeq lists it as uncharacterized. The record is from RefSeq and is a predicted model, not a curated record. NCBI's taxonomy places the organism in Eukaryota, Metazoa, Chordata, Actinopteri, Gadiformes, Gadidae. The transcript is spliced from 2 exons.